Molecule: long non-coding RNA, 427 nt
Filed under: Panax ginseng (ginseng)
Lineage: Eukaryota; Viridiplantae; Streptophyta; Magnoliopsida; Apiales; Araliaceae
Description: long non-coding RNA (PGIN_LNC014423)
Source: RNAcentral
UCUUCCUUCUUUUUAUGAACCCUCCGAGGGUUAUUUCCAUAGCUUCUAGCAAGAAUGUGCUCAGCCACGGCUUCUAAAGCCGUAAGGUCUUUAAUAUUUUUAGACUUCAACCCCAUUUCAACCAUUUCUCCAUGUUUAAUCAUUUUUGAGAAUGGUUUUCCUGUCCCUGCUAGGACCCUCUCCUAAGCUUCCUGUAUAUCAAUGAAUGCCAUUACCAUUUCUGUUUCUGUCAUUGAUGGAGUGACUUGGGUAGCCAGGCGUCUCCAUCGUUGGGCAUAUUCACGAAAAGAUACAUUGCUUUGCUUCUUAACCUUAGUGAUUUGAUACCUAUCUAGAGCCAUUUGUGAUUGGAAACUAUAUUGAUUUAGGAAGGUAUGUGCUAGCUCAUCCCCGCUGUGAAUUUUAGAAUUGUCCAAUACCUCAUUUG